This 1544-nucleotide long non-coding RNA is filed under the name Mus musculus (house mouse). Its description in RNAcentral is "long non-coding RNA chr3:85887690-85889234". The record is from RNAcentral. Lineage: Eukaryota; Metazoa; Chordata; Mammalia; Rodentia; Muridae.
AAACUUGAACUGGAGCGUUGUGGAGGACGCCUCGCCCUUGGGGGCUCGCCUCUCUGGCGAACUUCAUCCCUCCUCCCGCGUCACGCCUGACAGGCAGGCACGCCCGGCUGGUUUCUAGGGUUUUCUGAGGAAAGGAAGCUGCACACCGCGACGCGCGGACGUCUUAGAUUUCCCACUUCCAGAAGGUUUGAGUGCGGAGCCGUACGCAUCGCCCCACGCGGAUUCCCUUCGCCUGGUCUCGUCUUCCUGAGAUAUUUGAACUUUAACAUGACAGGACAGUCCCAGUAGAUCUGAGGCAAAAGAUGAACGUGAUCUCCUUUUACUGGACUGGAAAACUCGCCUGAAUGAACAGGAGGCCAUUUGGUUCCAGCAAGGAAGCAAAGAGUUGCAGUUUUGCAGUUUAGUUUCUUAGGGGUAAUUUUAGUCGUUCGGACCUUAUUUGUGAGCUUGAGGGUAUUGCAUAGGUGUGUGUCGUUCAUUCACUGGCAACUGUCCCCACUGCCACCCUACCUCCAGCCAAAAAGAAAGGGCUGUUAAAUGAAUAGUCCUUAGCAAGGAUGAAAGUUCGCAACUCGGAGCUCAGGAGAAUGGAGAACAGCAGGGAGGUGGUGGCCCUUUGGCACUGUGUGGUACAUUAUCCUCUUCCAGGGCCCAACCCUCGACCUGGGGCGACCUUUGCCUAAGGACUGAGAACAGCAUGCCACGCCAGCUCUCCCCUUCAGUCUCCACGCCCUAUGUGCUUGGACGGUCUGUCCAGGCUCUGCUUCCUGUACUUUAAAUCCCAUAGGAGGAAUUUGAAUCUUGGUUAGCGGCUCUCUUGCUAUUUGCAUUGCCCUGUGGUUAGUGUGGCUGAAACUUGAAUUGAGUCCUCCUCCCAGCGGAUGGGGCUACACCACAGUCUGAGAAAACGGAUGUGGAGGUUUUCCACCACAGCAUCCUACUGGCGCCUCACCAAAUCCUGCUUCUGAGGAAGAGUCUUCCUUUGUUCUGCAUGAAUGACCUCCGGAGAUAACCAAAAUCGGGCAGAUCUAGUUUUCUAAUUUUCCUUGCACCCAUAGCAACUGGAUGGUACAAACUUCAUGCUUUCUCCUACUAUCUGUACAUCACCACCACCACCACCACCACCACCAUGCCCGAAUCACCAACUUUCGCUUUUGCCGCCUGAAGAUAAAAAAAAAAUGGUUCCUGAAUAUAAAUCGGGGGUAGGGGGGACGGAAUAAGAGAGCAGGGUUUUGCGAACAGCAGGUCACAGGUCUGCUCUGCCUUUGGAAUAUGGGCAAAUCAUUCCUUUACUCAGCAAAUACCCAUUGGGUAACUUUUGUUUGUCAAGCACUCUUGGGGGGCUGAAGAACAAAAACAUUAACAGUCUCAACAAUUAUAAAAUAAGCAUUUUCUCAAAUGUCAUGAGCACCCACAGUGGUGUGCUUUACUGUCACAGGGCCAAAGCAAAUGGGCAAUUGAUAAUGAACUGUAAACCAAAAUGAACCUUCCCUCUUUUUAAGUUGACAUAAGUAUUUUGUUACAGUAAUAAAAGGUCAAAUAAU